This 365-nucleotide ribosomal RNA is filed under the name uncultured bacterium. Its description in RNAcentral is "partial 16S ribosomal RNA". It matches the Rfam family "Bacterial small subunit ribosomal RNA", at positions 338 to 701 of the family's 1533-position model. The record is from RNAcentral.
CCUACGGGAGGCAGCAGUGAGGAAGAUUGGGCAAGGGCCGGAAGGCGGAACCAGCCAAGGAGAGUGAGGGACGACGGCCCGAUGGGUGGUAAAACUCUUUUAUAAGGGAAGAACAAAUGCUACGUGUAGCAUGAUGCCUGUACCUUAUGAAUAAGCAUCGGCUAACUCCGUGCCAGCAGCCGCGGUAAUACGGAGGAUGCGUGCGUUAUCCGGAUUUAUUGGGUUUAAAGGGUGCGUAGGCGGUUUUUUAAGUUGGUGGUUAAACGUCGGGGCUUCACCUUGAUUUGCCAUUCAUACUGUCAGCCUCGAGUUCAGACGAGGUAGGCGGCAUGCGUUCCGUAGCGGUGACAUGCUUAGAUAUUACU